This 2009-nucleotide ribosomal RNA is filed under the name Campylobacter jejuni. Its description in RNAcentral is "partial 23S ribosomal RNA". It matches the Rfam family "Bacterial large subunit ribosomal RNA", at positions 1 to 1872 of the family's 2925-position model. Lineage: Bacteria; Pseudomonadati; Campylobacterota; Epsilonproteobacteria; Campylobacterales; Campylobacteraceae. The record is from RNAcentral.
AAAAAAGGUAAGCUACUAAGAGCGAAUGGUGGAUGCCUUGACUGGUAAAGGCGAUGAAGGACGUACUAGACUGCGAUAAGCUACGGGGAGCUGUCAAGAAGCUUUGAUCCGUAGAUUUCCGAAUGGGGCAACCCAAUGUAUAGAGAUAUACAUUACCUAUAUAGGAGCGAACGAGGGGAAUUGAAACAUCUUAGUACCCUCAGGAAAAGAAAUCAAUAGAGAUUGUGUCAGUAGCGGCGAGCGAAAGCGCAAGAGGGCAAACCCAGUGCUUGCACUGGGGGUUGUAGGACUGCAAUGUGCAAGAGCUGAGUUUAGCAGAACAUUCUGGAAAGUAUAGCCAUAGAGGGUGAUAGUCCCGUAUGCGAAAAACAAAGCUUAGCUAGCAGUAUCCUGAGUAGGGCGGGACACGAGGAAUCCUGUCUGAAUCCGGGUCGACCACGAUCCAACCCUAAAUACUAAUACCAGAUCGAUAGUGCACAAGUACCGUGAGGGAAAGGUGAAAAGAACUGAGGUGAUCAGAGUGAAAUAGAACCUGAAACCAUUUGCUUACAAUCAUUCAGAGCACUAUGUAGCAAUACAGUGUGAUGGACUGCCUUUUGCAUAAUGAGCCUGCGAGUUGUGGUGUCUGGCAAGGUUAAGCAAACGCGAAGCCGUAGCGAAAGCGAGUCUGAAUAGGGCGCUUAGUCAGAUGCUGCAGACCCGAAACGAAGUGAUCUAUCCAUGAGCAAGUUGAAGCUAGUGUAAGAACUAGUGGAGGACUGAACCCAUAGGCGUUGAAAAGCCCCGGGAUGACUUGUGGAUAGGGGUGAAAGGCCAAUCAAACUUCGUGAUAGCUGGUUCUCUCCGAAAUAUAUUUAGGUAUAGCGUUGUGUCGUAAUAUAAGGGGGUAGAGCACUGAAUGGGCUAGGGCAUACACCAAUGUACCAAACCCUAUCAAACUCCGAAUACCUUAUAUGUAAUCACAGCAGUCAGGCGGCGAGUGAUAAAAUCCGUCGUCAAGAGGGAAACAACCCAGACUACCAGCUAAGGUCCCUAAAUCUUACUUAAGUGGAAAACGAUGUGAAGUUACUUAAACAACCAGGAGGUUGGCUUAGAAGCAGCCAUCCUUUAAAGAAAGCGUAAUAGCUCACUGGUCUAGUGAUUUUGCGCGGAAAAUAUAACGGGGCUAAAGUAAGUACCGAAGCUGUAGACUUGCGCACAACUUAGAUUAUUUAAGUUUAGAAUAUGAGAAACUAAGUUAUAUUUUUACUGAUUUUUAUAGAGUAAAGAUAGAAAUAAAACUUAGUAAAAUCAGUAAAAAUAUUCUUAGGCUAAAGUUAAGUAGUUUAAGUUGUGUGCAAGUGGUAGGAGAGCGUUCUAUUUGCGUCGAAGGUAUACCGGUAAGGAGUGCUGGAGCGAAUAGAAGUGAGCAUGCAGGCAUGAGUAGCGAUAAUUAAUGUGAGAAUCAUUAACGCCGUAAACCCAAGGUUUCCUACGCGAUGCUCGUCAUCGUAGGGUUAGUCGGGUCCUAAGUCGAGUCCGAAAGGGGUAGACGAUGGCAAAUUGGUUAAUAUUCCAAUACCAACAUUAGUGUGCGAUGGAAGGACGCUUAGGGCUAAGGGGGCUAGCGGAUGGAAGUGCUAGUCUAAGGUCGUAGGAGGUUAUACAGGCAAAUCCGUAUAACAAUACUCCGAGAACUGAAAGGCUUUUUGAAGUCUUCGGAUGGAUAGAAGAACCCCUGAUGCCGUCGAGCCAAGAAAAGUUUCUAAGUUUAGCUAAUGUUGCCCGUACCGUAAACCGACACAGGUGGGUGGGAUGAGUAUUCUAAGGCGCGUGGAAGAACUCUCUUUAAGGAACUCUGCAAAAUAGCACCGUAUCUUCGGUAUAAGGUGUGGUUAGCUUUGUAUUAGGAUUUACUCCGAAAGCGAAGAAACUUACAACAAAGAGUCCCUCCCGACUGUUUACCAAAAACACAGCACUCUGCUAACUCGUAAGAGGAUGUAUAGGGUGUGACGCCUGCCCGGUGCUCG